Molecule: unclassified non-coding RNA, 724 nt
Filed under: Hevea brasiliensis (rubber tree)
Lineage: Eukaryota; Viridiplantae; Streptophyta; Magnoliopsida; Malpighiales; Euphorbiaceae
Source: RNAcentral
AAAAACAAAGUCUACGCCGGUAACUUUUACCCUUAACUUCCUCACGAGAGUUGUAGCAUUCUGUACUCACAAAAAGAACAGUUACUACACCAUACAUAGAGUCAUUCAUUCUCAAAAAAAUUCUCUCACACAUUAAACAGUGGGGAGCUCGCCGCAGUCGCUGAUGGUCACCUUCUUCUUCGGCUUAUCUCCCCGGUCAGUCUCUUGGGACUCAAUCAACCUCACGAUAUCCAUUCCCUCCAGGACCUGACCAAAGACCACAUGCUUCCCAUCCAACCAGGGUGUCUUUUCAGUGCAAAUGAAGAACUGGCUUCCAUUGGUGUUGGGCCCAGCAUUGGCCAUACUGACAAUUCCUGGUCCCACAUGGGUCAACUUAAAGUUUUCAUCUUUAAAGGUGCGGCCAUAUAUGCUUUUACCACCAGUGCCAUUUCCCUUGUCAAAGUCUCCACCCUGAAUCAUGAAAGAUUUGAUGACACGGUGAAAUGCGGAUCCCUUGUACCCAAAUCCUUUCUCCCCUGUACAGAGAGCACGAAAAUUCUCUGCAGUCUGCGGCACAUCGUCCCCAAACAAGCCGAUGACAAUCCUCCCAACCACAUUCCCCACAGGGUUCCCAAUGCUGAUCUCAAAAUACACCUUCUGCGUAACCUUCGACUGCAAAUCAGCUUCCUGUAACGCAGCGGAGGUGACGAGGCGGGCGCGGCGGAGGACGGGGAGGGGGGAGAAG